UGAGUGAAGAAGGCCUUCGGGUUGUAAAGCUCUUUCAGCCGGAACGAAACGGUCACGGUUAAUACCUGUGGCUACUGACGGUACCGGAAGAAGAAGCACCGGCUAACUACGUGCCAGCAGCCGCGGUAAUACGUAGGGUGCAAGCGUUAAUCGGAAUUACUGGGCGUAAAGCGUGCGCAGGCGGUUUUGUAAGUCAGAUGUGAAAUCCCCGGGCUUAACCUGGGAACUGCGUUUGAAACUACAAGGCUAGAGUGUGGCAGAGGGGGGUGGAAUUCCACGUGUAGCAGUGAAAUGCGUAGAGAUGUGGAGGAACACCGAUGGCGAAGGCAGCCCCCUGGGUUAACACUGACGCUCAGGCACGAAAGCGUGGGGAGCAAACAGGAUUAGAUACCCUGGUAGUCCACGCCCUAAACGA
RNAcentral lists this ribosomal RNA (415 nucleotides) under uncultured bacterium. RNAcentral's name for it is "bacterial SSU rRNA". It matches the Rfam family "Bacterial small subunit ribosomal RNA", at positions 402 to 809 of the family's 1533-position model. The record is from RNAcentral.